Molecule: ribosomal RNA, 253 nt
Filed under: uncultured bacterium
Lineage: Bacteria
Description: partial 16S ribosomal RNA
Rfam family: Bacterial small subunit ribosomal RNA
Source: RNAcentral
UACGUAGGGGGCAAGCGUUGUCCGGAUUUAUUGGGCGUAAAGAGCGUGUAGGCGGUUAGGUAGGUCAGCUGUGAAAACUCGAGGCUCAACCUCGAGACGCCGGUUGAAACCAUCUGACUAGAGUCCGGAAGAGGAGAGUGGAAUUCCUGGUGUAGCGGUGAAAUGCGCAGAUAUCAGGAAGAACACCCGUGGCUAAGGCGGCUCUCUAGUACGGUACUGACGCUGAGACGCGAAAGCGUGGGGAGCGAACAGG